This 88-nucleotide microRNA precursor is filed under the name Physcomitrium patens. Its description in RNAcentral is "Physcomitrella patens mir-160 microRNA precursor family". It matches the Rfam family "mir-160 microRNA precursor family". Rfam says of the family: The hairpin precursors (represented here) are predicted based on base pairing and cross-species conservation -- their extents are not known. Lineage: Eukaryota; Viridiplantae; Streptophyta; Bryopsida; Funariales; Funariaceae. The record is from Rfam by way of RNAcentral.
AUCCGCCUGGCUCCCUGUAUGCCACCUGCGAAGCAUGCUAAAGGUUUUUGCCAGGAUUUGCAGCUGGCGUUCAGGGAGUCAAGCAGGC